UUUCAAAGUAGGUUAGAAAGACUGUGGGUUUCAUAAGCCUAAGGUGGGUUGUUCCCUUUGAAAA
This 64-nucleotide transfer RNA is filed under the name Pinctada margaritifera. RNAcentral's name for it is "tRNA-Met". Lineage: Eukaryota; Metazoa; Mollusca; Bivalvia; Pterioida; Pteriidae. The record is from RNAcentral.